CCCCGAAAACUAAAUAUUUCUCCAUAUCAUUAAAAAGCAUUCAAUCGUUUGUUUAAUCAUAUGUUCUCUAUAUGUAUUUGUUGCUGCGACAGAUGAAGGAAGCAAAGACAGUAUCAGUGAAGGAAGGAGAAACUGUCACUCUACGCACUGGUCUUAUUGAAAUAAAGGGAUAUGAUCACAUACUGUGGAAAUUUGAAGACAAUCUCAUGGGGUGAAUUCAAUAUAAAGCGACAAACCAGCUCUCAUUGUAAUAACAAUGCUGAUGUGAGAUUCAAAGGCAGACUGCAGUUAAGUGAAAAACUGGAUCUCUCAUCAUCAGUAACUCCAAAACCACAGACUCUGGAGUUUAUCAUCUAAACAUGAGCAGUAGCUUCGCACUUCUUACAGAGGACCAUCACUGUUACUGUUAGUGAUCCAGGUCAUUACACAAGUAAUGAAGGCACUGAAGUGGGGGGUUGGAAUCUUGGUGCUGGUGGUUGUUGUUCUUGUAAUAGUUUCUGAUCUACUGCUGUUGCAAGAAAUCUAAACCUGGGACAACAAAAUAAUGUCAUUCGAAAUCUUGAGAAUGAAACAGUCAUACCUUUGCAUAAUAAGGAAUAGCGUUAACUGUGUUUACAAUCAGUUCCGUGCGCUGUUGAGCUGUGCAAUUGAGUUGAAUUUGUAAUAAAAUAAGAAAAAAAUGGUUUAAUUUUAGUUUGCAGCUGAUGUGUUUUGCAUUGCACAGUUUUAUGUAUUUUUUUAAUGUGAGUUUUAAAACAUUUGGUCCAGUGUAAUGUGAUUUUCUGCACUCCCUAUAAUAUAUGAUAUUGUUACUCUCUGUAAAAUAUAGGUUCUUUUGUUUGUUUUGUUUGUUUUUGUUUUUUUUACACUUUUGCAGGAAAAUCCAUUUGUAUUCUUUAAAUAUUUUCUUUUGCAUACAUUAUUUUGUAUGUUGUACUGUAUUAAACCAUACAUUAGGCUAUCUGUUGUUUAUUAUUGGUAUAUUUCUUGAUUUACAAUGGGAGUCUGCUAAAUGUAUAUUUUGCUAAUUUAACAUGAUUGUUUUUAUUUAGUGCAUUUUUUUUUCUUAUAAAUUAUAUUAUCAUUUAAAAGAAAAAAAUAACAUGAAUUUAAGAAUAUCCAUAAGGCAUGAAUGUAAAAUUUAAAUGUGGGCUGCAUUCAGAGCUACUGUAUCUGUGGUAUUUCACAUUUAGUCCUCUUUGACUCAGACCCUUUUAAAUUAACUGAAAAAAAAGAACAGAAUAUAAGAAUCUGUGUGGAGUUGAAACAGACAGGACAGGCUUAAUAAGACCCCUAUACUGUAAUAUCUGAUAGAUGACUCAUAUCUGAGAAGUGACUCAUCUUGUCCUCUCACACCUUUAACUUUGUUUGGUACCCUGUAAAGGCCAAAAAUAAGCGCAUUUCCAAAUCUGAAAUCCAGGUGAAACUUUCAGACAUGCAUGUUAUAUAAAUGAAAUGCAUGGGAAAUCAAGGCACAUUCAGGCUACCUGUCAGCAAGGUUUCUUUGUAUUAGAGGUGAUCAUAUUGUUUAAAGGUUUUAUUUGGAGCAUUUGCAAUAAUAAGAAAAUUAAUGCAAACCACUCUCAGACCCCUGAAAAAAAAAAAAAAAAACUGUUUUUCGAAAAACACACUGAUAUAUUGUAACGUUAUUUUAUCUUGAUGCCUGCCCUCUAGUGGACUAAUCGUUGACUACGGCCGGAUUCUUUGAUCAGUUAGGAAAAUUUAGUAAUUGUUCCAACCACUCUAUUUGAAUAUGCAUGUGCCUGAAUGCAUGUACUUAAAAUGCAUAAUAAAAUUGCUUUAAUAAU
Long non-coding RNA from Cyprinus carpio (common carp), 1808 nucleotides. RefSeq lists it as uncharacterized. The record is from RefSeq and is a predicted model, not a curated record. Lineage: Eukaryota; Metazoa; Chordata; Actinopteri; Cypriniformes; Cyprinidae.